UACGGAAGGCAGCAGUGGGGAAUAUUGCACAAUGGGCGCAAGCCUGAUGCAGCCAUGCCGCGUGUAUGAAGAAGGCCUUCGGGUUGUAAAGUACUUUCAGUCGUGAGGAAGGUGUUAAGGUUAAUAACCUUAGCAAUUGACGUUAGCGACAGAAGAAGCACCGGCUAACUCCGUGCCAGCAGCCGCGGUAAUACGGAGGGUGCGAGCGUUAAUCGGAAUUACCGGGCGUAAAGGGCACGCAGGCGGUUAAUUAAGUUGGAUGUGAAAUCCCCGGGCUUAACCUGGGAAUGGCAUUCAAGCUGGUUAGCUAGAGUCUUGUAGAGGGGGUAGAAUUCCAUGUGUAGCGGUGAAAUGCGUAGAGAUGUGGAGGAAUACCGGUGGCGAAGGCGGCCCCUGGGACAAAGACUGACGCUCAUGUGCGAAAGCGUGGGGAGGCAAACAGGGAGUUAGAUACC
Molecule: ribosomal RNA, 455 nt
Filed under: uncultured bacterium
Lineage: Bacteria
Description: bacterial SSU rRNA
Rfam family: Bacterial small subunit ribosomal RNA
Source: RNAcentral